RNAcentral lists this ribosomal RNA (476 nucleotides) under Kodamaea ohmeri. Its description in RNAcentral is "eukaryotic LSU rRNA". It matches the Rfam family "Eukaryotic large subunit ribosomal RNA", at positions 37 to 511 of the family's 3401-position model. The record is from RNAcentral. Lineage: Eukaryota; Fungi; Ascomycota; Pichiomycetes; Serinales; Debaryomycetaceae.
UGCAUAUCAAUAAGCGGAGGAAAAGAAACCAACAGGGAUUGCCUCAGUAACGGCGAGUGAAGCGGCAAAAGCUCAAAUUUGAAAUCCCCCCGGGGAGUUGUAAUUUGAAGAUUGCGUCUUGGAGGCGACCGUGUCUAUGUUCCUUGGAACAGGACGUCACAGAGGGUGAGAAUCCCGUGCGGCACGGCCCCCGGCUCCUUAUAAGGCGCUCUCGACGAGUCGAGUUGUUUGGGAAUGCAGCUCAAAGUGGGUGGUAAAUUCCAUCUAAAGCUAAAUACAGGCGAGAGACCGAUAGCGAACAAGUACAGUGAUGGAAAGAUGAAAAGCACUUUGAAAAGAGAGUGAAACAGCACGUGAAAUUGUUGAAAGGGAAGGGCAUGCCGUCAGAUUGUCAGUGUGGGUAAGAAGCGGGGUACAAAGACUGUGGAACGUGGCCCUCGGGUGUUAUAGCCGCAGUUCAUGCCCCGUCUCUUUCC